AUAUUUUAAGCACAUUAUGCCCCUGCUUGAACUACCAAAGAACGCAUGUAAGAAAAGAUGAUAAUAACAGACAAGUGAUAAAUGAUUGUCAGCGUCCGUCCACCCUAGGAAAGAAGAAUGGUAACCAGUCAAAAGAAAGGACAAAUCCCUCUAAGUAUUUGCGAUGCCCAAAAAAUUUAUAGCCACAAUAACUCACACGACAACAUUCAUCCCACCGCCACGACCAAAAAUUCAAUGCGUUCAUCAUAGGUAUCUUAUCGCCAAACUAAUGUCACAUUUACCUUUUCACACAUUGAGAAACCAAAGGUGAGACUCAGGUCACCAAUCAAAAUCAACUUCCGUAAAAAAUUUCCCAAAAUAUCAAAUACUUACUUCUCCAGAGAGAUCCACUGGAAACAAAGUGAUUGCACUGGGAUCAAAACUGAAUCCACUGACAAAAGAAAAAUCAGCACGAUAUUAGCAACCGGCCAUAACUGGAA
This is a long non-coding RNA of Syzygium oleosum, 479 nucleotides long. RefSeq lists it as uncharacterized. The transcript has 2 exons. The record is from RefSeq and is a predicted model, not a curated record. Lineage: Eukaryota; Viridiplantae; Streptophyta; Magnoliopsida; Myrtales; Myrtaceae.